GGCCCACCAGUUUACUACCUAGUGUGUAUGGCCCACCAGUUUACUACCUAGUGUGUAUGGCCCACCAGUUUACUACCUAGUGUGUAUGGCCCACCAGUUUACUACCUAGUGUGUAUGGCCCAGUAGUAAAAAACUAAAUAGGUACUACCUAGUGUGUAUGGCCCAGUAGUAAAAAACUAAAUAGGUACUACCUUGAUCAGGUCUGUUGCUCAUGUCUGAUGAUCAAAUGUCUGUUUCACCAGUUCACCCUAAAUGGUUGGUUGUGUAUUUGUUAAAUACAAAACCUGUGUACUUUAUUCUUUGUACAUGUUUGAGAAUUUUAUUUACUUAAUUUAUUUGUCACUUUACUAAACUUAAAUUCCUAGUGAGUAGGAAUGGGAUAAAAUGUAGGACACAAAUUGUAUGAAAUGAAAUGUCUUUGAAUUGUUGUGAAGAGAAUGUGGCUUCUGUAGUGCAUCCAAAUAAUAUAUCCUUUCUCCUGAAGUGUACACUCAUUCACUACUACAAAUCUAAAAGCAUCGGAUUGGUGGAGGCAUGGGGCAGGAGUUUCCACUAUAUUUCUUAUAGCAGUCAUUUCCUUUCAAUUCAGGGAAUUGAAGUGAACCUAUGUACACUUUUGGAGGAAGGAGAGAAUUGGAACAUCUCCUGUGUCCUUCAUGUCUUGUGUGUGAGACCUAGCCAAAUAACAUUUGUGCUGCUACUUAUAUUGUUGUUGUCCAUUGUUUUCUGACAUAUGUGCAUGUAUUUCAAUUUAACAAAAUGGAGGGACUUAUUAUUAAAAGAAAAUAAAUCAGCAAGACAUGAAGCACAA
Molecule: non-coding RNA, 811 nt
Organism: Salmo salar (Atlantic salmon)
Lineage: Eukaryota; Metazoa; Chordata; Actinopteri; Salmoniformes; Salmonidae
Source: RefSeq, a predicted model, not a curated record